RNAcentral lists this unclassified non-coding RNA (200 nucleotides) under soil metagenome. Its description in RNAcentral is "partial contains internal transcribed spacer 2 and large subunit ribosomal RNA". The record is from RNAcentral.
CGUCAUUACACCACUCAAGCCUGGCUUGGUAUUGGGCGCCGCGGCUUAACCGCCGCGCGCCCUAAUGUCUUCGGCUGAGCCGUCCGUCUCUAAGCGUUGUGGUCAUUCAGUUCGCUUGCGAGUCCGGAUCGGUUUGUCGCCGUUAAACACCCCCAUCAAAGGUUGACCUCGGAUCAGGUAGGGAUACCCGCUGAACUUAA